RNAcentral lists this non-coding RNA (129 nucleotides) under unclassified sequences. RNAcentral describes it as "LAGLIDADG-2 RNA". It matches the Rfam family "LAGLIDADG-2 RNA". Rfam says of the family: Halobacteria (Archaea). Nearby to self-splicing intron genes The record is from Rfam by way of RNAcentral.
AUAUGAGGCCCAGUUAGAGGCCUCACUAACCUGGGGAGGUUAGAUAUCCAUCCGGGUAGCGGACACUCCGCCCCUACUGGAGGAACGGCAUCCAGAGGCCGGGUUAUCAGCCCCGGUCGGAACCGUUUC